This is a ribosomal RNA of Ophiostoma piceae, 120 nucleotides long. NCBI's taxonomy places the organism in Eukaryota, Fungi, Ascomycota, Sordariomycetes, Ophiostomatales, Ophiostomataceae. The record is from Rfam.
ACGUACGGCCAUAGAUACCGGAAAGCACGGGAUCCCGUCCGCUCUCCCCUAGUUAAACCAGUAAUCGGCGGAUUAGUAGUUGGGUCGGUGACGACCAGCGAAUACCCUCUGCUGUACGUU